GGCUAUGUAGCUCAGUUGGUUAGAGCAUCGCACUCAUAAUGCGGGGGUCACAGGUUCAAAUCCCGUCAUAGCCACCA
RNAcentral lists this transfer RNA (77 nucleotides) under Acinetobacter sp. RNAcentral's name for it is "tRNA-Met". It matches the Rfam family "tRNA". From Rfam's summary of the family: Transfer RNA (tRNA) molecules are approximately 80 nucleotides in length. Their secondary structure includes four short double-helical elements and three loops (D, anti-codon, and T loops). The record is from RNAcentral. RNAcentral also lists the same sequence under 7 other names. Lineage: Bacteria; Pseudomonadati; Pseudomonadota; Gammaproteobacteria; Moraxellales; Moraxellaceae.